RNAcentral lists this ribosomal RNA (496 nucleotides) under uncultured bacterium. Its description in RNAcentral is "partial 16S ribosomal RNA". It matches the Rfam family "Bacterial small subunit ribosomal RNA", at positions 28 to 506 of the family's 1533-position model. The record is from RNAcentral.
GAUGAACGCUGGCGGCGUGCCUAAUACAUGCAAGUCGAGCGAACGGACGAGAAGCUUGCCUCUCUGAUGUUAGCGGCGGACGGGUGAGUAACACGUGGAUAACCUACCUAUAAGACUGGGAUAACUUCGGGAAACCGGAGCUAAUACCGGAUAAUAUUUUGAACCGCAUGGUUCAAAAGUGAAAGACGGUCUUGCUGUCACUUAUAGAUGGAGCCGCGCUGCAUUAGCUAGUUGGUAAGGUAACGGCUUACCAAGGCAACGAUGCAUAGCCGACCUGAGAGGGUGAUCGGCCGCGCUGGAACUGAGACACGGUCCCGGCGCCUGCGGAAGGCCGCAGUCGGGACUCUUCCGCAAUGGGCGAAGGCCUGACGGAGCCACGCCGCGUGAGUGAUGAAGGUCUGCGUGUCGUAAAACUCUGUUAUUAGGGAAGAACAUAUGUGUAAGUACCUGUGCACAUCUUGCCGGUACCUAAUCAGAAAGCCCCGGCUAACUCCGU